Podarcis raffonei (Aeolian wall lizard) is the source of this 464-nucleotide long non-coding RNA. RefSeq lists it as uncharacterized. The record is from RefSeq and is a predicted model, not a curated record. Lineage: Eukaryota; Metazoa; Chordata; Lepidosauria; Squamata; Lacertidae. The transcript has 5 exons.
GUAAGAGGGCACUGGAUUACAGCCUUGGUAAGAAAUUUGCCAUCAUUCUACAAGAAACUCUGGUACAAAGGGGCCAAUUUUGGGGCUGCUGAGUAGACUCAUCUUCAGCCUGCUUCUAAUUCACGCUUCUAAGACGAUAAGCGAGAAGCCUUCAGUACGCAAUGAACCUCGGAAAAGUUCUGCAAACAACUGUAUGUGUACUCAUGUUCUACGGUGACCAAAGAGGACAAUUCUGAAAAUGAUUUGUUUCAGAGGCAGGAUUAUAGGAAAUGUGACAUCAUAAACUACAUCACUAGAAUUCUUGCCGCCUCCUGGUUAUGGAACAAAUGACAGUCAACCCUUGAAAUAAUUGUUUCUUCUCUAGCAUGGUGAAUCGUCAGUUCCGUUGCUACCACCGAUGGCAGCCUCAUUUCCUGUCACGUUGUUUCCUGAGUCUCAGACAGAAGCGGGCGUUUAAUGUGUGA